UACGGAGGGUGCGAGCGUUUGUCCGGAAUCACUGGGCGUAAAGGGCGCGUAGGCGGCGCGGGAAGUCCGUGGUGAAAGCCCGAGGCUCAACUUCGGGUCGGCCAUGGAUACUCCUGGGCUUGAGCACUGUAGAGGCAGGUGGAAUUCCGGGUGUAGCGGUGGAAUGCGUAGAGAUCCGGAAGAACACCGGUGGCGAAGGCGGCCUGCUGGGCUAUGGCUGACACUGAGGCGCGGACAGCGUGGGGAGCAAACAGG
RNAcentral lists this ribosomal RNA (255 nucleotides) under uncultured bacterium. Its description in RNAcentral is "partial 16S ribosomal RNA". It matches the Rfam family "Bacterial small subunit ribosomal RNA", at positions 524 to 776 of the family's 1533-position model. The record is from RNAcentral.